This 630-nucleotide ribosomal RNA is filed under the name uncultured bacterium. Its description in RNAcentral is "bacterial SSU rRNA". The stretch from base 1 to 541 matches the Rfam family "Bacterial small subunit ribosomal RNA", at positions 338 to 873 of the family's 1533-position model. The record is from RNAcentral.
CCUACGGGAGGCAGCAGUGGGGAAUUUUGGACAAUGGGCGCAAGCCUGAUCCAGCAAUGCCGCGUGAGUGAAGAAGGCCUUCGGGUUGUAAAGCUCUUUUGUCAGGGAAGAAACGGUGGAGGCUAAUAUCCUUUGCUAAUGACGGUACCUGAAGAAUAAGCACCGGCUAACUACGUGCCAGCAGCCGCGGUAAUACGUAGGGUGCAAGCGUUAAUCGGAAUUACUGGGCGUAAAGCGUGCGCAGGCGGUUUUGUAAGUUUGUCGUGAAAUCCCCGGGCUCAACCUGGGAAUGGCGAUGAAGACUGCAAGGCUAGAAUCUGGCAGAGGGGGGUAGAAUUCCACGUGUAGCAGUGAAAUGCGUAGAGAUGUGGAGGAACACCGAUGGCGAAGGCAGCCCCCUGGGUCAAGAUUGACGCUCAUGCACGAAAGCGUGGGGAGCAAACAGGAUUAGAUACCCUGGUAGUCCACGCCCUAAACGAUGUCUACUAGUUGUCGGGUUUUAAUAACUUGGUAACGCAGCUAACGCGUGAAGUAGACCGCCUGGGGGAGGUACGGUCGGUCGAGAAGUUAAACGUUAACGUAAAGAAGUUAGUAGGCGNGAGAGNGCGACGGACGACGACGAGGAGGAGG